This 309-nucleotide ribosomal RNA is filed under the name uncultured Fusibacter sp. RNAcentral describes it as "bacterial SSU rRNA". It matches the Rfam family "Bacterial small subunit ribosomal RNA", at positions 1077 to 1382 of the family's 1533-position model. The record is from RNAcentral. Lineage: Bacteria; Bacillati; Bacillota; Clostridia; Eubacteriales; Fusibacteraceae.
GGGUUAAGUCCCGCAACGAGCGCAACCCUUGUGUUUAGUUGCAAACAGGGUCAAGCUGUGCACUCUAGACAGACUGCCGUGGGACAACACGGAGGAAGGUGGGGAUGACGUCAAAUCAUCAUGCCCCUUAUGAUCUGGGCUACACACGUGCUACAAUGGCCGGUACAACGGGCAGCGAAGGAGCGAUACCGGAGCGAAUCCUAAAAAGCCGGUCCCAGUUCGGAUUGCAGGCUGAAACUCGCCUACAUGAAGUUGGAGUUGCUAGUAAUCGCGAAUCAGAAUGUCGCGGUGAAUGCGUUCCCGGGUCUU